Pelobates cultripes (western spadefoot toad) is the source of this 228-nucleotide non-coding RNA. The record is from the annotation of a GenBank genome assembly. NCBI's taxonomy places the organism in Eukaryota, Metazoa, Chordata, Amphibia, Anura, Pelobatidae.
AGAACCUCAAGAUAGGCAAAGUGCCAUAAGAGUAUUAGUUUGACAAAUGUCGAAGUAUCCUGCAAUUUUAUUUUAAGUCUUUAAAUACGACUUUGACGGUCUUUACUAGAAGGGAGACGAGCAUGUCAUCUUUAAGUCCUGGGAGUUAUUCAGUAUUGUAGCAUAUUUAAAUCUAAAUGACAAAAUUAAGACUGACACAGCCUGUGUCUGGAGCUAAGUUGGAGACAA